AGCCCUGGUUGUGGUUUUAGCCCU
Molecule: non-coding RNA, 24 nt
Filed under: Arabidopsis thaliana (thale cress)
Lineage: Eukaryota; Viridiplantae; Streptophyta; Magnoliopsida; Brassicales; Brassicaceae
Source: RNAcentral